Molecule: ribosomal RNA, 263 nt
Filed under: Escherichia coli
Lineage: Bacteria; Pseudomonadati; Pseudomonadota; Gammaproteobacteria; Enterobacterales; Enterobacteriaceae
Description: partial 23S ribosomal RNA
Rfam family: Bacterial large subunit ribosomal RNA
Source: RNAcentral
UACUAUAGCUUGACACUGAACAUUGAGCCUUGAUGUGUAGGAUAGGUGGGAGGCUUGGAAGUGUGGACGCCAGUCUGCAUGGAGCCGACCUUGAAAUACCACCCUUUAAUGUUUGAUGUUCUAACGUGGACCCGUAAUCCGGGUUGCGGACAGUGUCUGGUGGGUAGUUUGACUGGGGCGGUCUCCUCCUAAAGAGUAACGGAGGAGCACGAAGGUUGGCUAAUCCUGGUCGGACAUCAGGAGGUUAGUGCAAUGGCAUAAGC